CCUACGGGAGGCAGCAGUGGGGGAUAUUGCACAAUGGGGGGAACCCUGAUGCAGCGACGCCGCGUGGGUGAAGGAGCGUUUCGGCGCGUAAAGCCCUAUCGGCAGGGAAGAAGGAGGACGGUACCUGACGAAGAAGCCCCGGCUAACUACGUGCCAGCAGCCGCGGUAAUACGGAGGGGGCAAGCGUUAUCCGGAUUUACUGGGUGUAAAGGGAGCGGAGACGGCAGUGCAAGUCUGGAGUGAAAGGCGGGGGCUCAACCCCCGGACUGCUCUGGAAACUGUCCGGCGGGAGUGCAGGAGAGGUAAGUUGAAUUCCUAGUGUAGCGGUGACAUGCGUCGAUAUUAGGAGGAACCCCAGUGGCGACGGCGGCUUACUGGACUGUAACUGACGUUGCGGCUCGAAAGCGUGGGGAGCAAACAGGAUUAGAUACCCGAGUAGUC
RNAcentral lists this ribosomal RNA (441 nucleotides) under uncultured bacterium. Its description in RNAcentral is "partial 16S ribosomal RNA". It matches the Rfam family "Bacterial small subunit ribosomal RNA", at positions 338 to 795 of the family's 1533-position model. The record is from RNAcentral.